AGCUGCGGCAGCGACGCUGAUGCGUUGUUGGGUAGGGGAGCGUUCUGUAAGCCUGCGAAGGUGGCCUGUGAGGGUUGCUGGAGGUAUCAGAAGUGCGAAUGCUGACAUAAGUAACGAUAAAGCGGGUGAAAAGCCCGCUCGCCGGAAGACCAAGGGUUCCUGUCCAACGUUAAUCGGGGCAGGGUGAGUCGACCCCUAAGGCGAGGCCGAAAGGCGUAGUCGAUGGGAAACGGGUUAAUAUUCCCGUACUUGGUGUUACUGCGAAGGGGGGACGGAGAAGGCUAUGUUGGCCGGGCGACGGUUGUCCCGGUUUAAGCGUGUAGGUGUGUGUUCCAGGUAAAUCCGGUUCACUUUAACACUGAGGCGUGAUGACGAGGCACUACGGUGCUGAAGCAACAAAUGCCCUGCUUCCAGGAAAAGCCUCUAAGCAUCAGGUAACAUCAAAUCGUACCCCAAACCGACACAGGUGGUCAGGUAGAGAAUACCAAGGCGCUUGAGAGAACUCGGGUGAAGGAACUAGGCAAAAUGGUGCCGUAACUUCGGGAGAAGGCACGCUGACACGUAGGUGAAGUGAUUUACUCAUGGAGCUGAAGUCAGUCGAAGAUACCAGCUGGCUGCAACUGUUUAUUAAAAACACAGCACUGUGCAAACACGAAAGUGGACGUAUACGGUGUGACGCCUGCCCGGUGCCGGAAGGUUAAUUGAUGGGGUCAGCGCAAGCGAAGCUCCUGAUCGAAGCCCCGGUAAACGGCGGCCGUAACUAUAACGGUCCUAAGGUAGCGAAAUUCCUUGUCGGGUAAGUUCCGACCUGCACGAAUGGCGUAAUGAUGGCCAGGCUGUCUCCACCCGAGACUCAGUGAAAUUGAACUCGCUGUGAAGAUGCAGUGUACCCGCGGCAAGACGGAAAGACCCCGUGAACCUUUACUAUAGCUUGACACUGAACAUUGAGCCUUGAUGUGUAGGAUAGGUGGGAGGCUUUGAAGUGUGGACGCCAGUCUGCAUGGAGCCGGCCUUGAAAUACCACCCUUUAAUGUUUGAUGUUCUAACGUGGACCCGUGAUCCGGGUUGCGGACAGUGUCUGGUGGGUAGUUUGACUGGGGCGGUCUCCUCCUAAAGAGUAACGGAGGAGCACGAAGGUUGGCUAAUCCUGGUCGGACAUCAGGAGGUUAGUGCAAUGGCAUAAGCCAGCUUGACUGCGAGCGUGACGGCGCGAGCAGGUGCGAAAGCAGGUCAUAGUGAUCCGGUGGUUCUGAAUGGAAGGGCCAUCGCUCAACGGAUAAAAGGUACUCCGGGGAUAACAGGCUGAUACCGCCCAAGAGUUCAUAUCGACGGCGGUGUUUGGCACCUCGAUGUCGGCUCAUCACAUCCUGGGGCUGAAGUAGGUCCCAAGGGUAUGGCUGUUCGCCAUUUAAAGUGGUACGCGAGCUGGGUUUAGAACGUCGUGAGACAGUUCGGUCCCUAUCUGCCGUGGGCGCUGGAGAACUGAGGGGGGCUGCUCCUAGUACGAGAGGACCGGAGUGGACGCAUCACUGGUGUUCGGGUUGUCAUGCCAAUGGCACUGCCCGGUAGCUAAAUGCGGAAGAGAUAAGUGCUGAAAGCAUCUAAGCACGAAACUUGCCCCGA
This 1623-nucleotide ribosomal RNA is filed under the name Salmonella enterica subsp. enterica serovar Schwarzengrund. RNAcentral's name for it is "partial 23S ribosomal RNA". It matches the Rfam family "Bacterial large subunit ribosomal RNA", at positions 1198 to 2802 of the family's 2925-position model. The record is from RNAcentral. Lineage: Bacteria; Pseudomonadati; Pseudomonadota; Gammaproteobacteria; Enterobacterales; Enterobacteriaceae.